Molecule: ribosomal RNA, 501 nt
Filed under: uncultured bacterium
Lineage: Bacteria
Description: partial 16S ribosomal RNA
Rfam family: Bacterial small subunit ribosomal RNA
Source: RNAcentral
AUUGAACGCUGGCGGCAGGCUUAACACAUGCAAGUCGAGCGGGGGAAGGUAGCUUGCUACCGGACCUAGCGGCGGACGGGUGAGUAAUGCUUAGGAAUCCGCCUAUUAGCGGGGGACAACAUCUCGAAAGGGAUGCUAAUACCGCAUACGUCCUACGGGAGAAAGCAGGGGAUCUUCGGACCUUGCGCUAAUAGAUGAGCCUAAGUCGGAUUAGCUAGUUGGUGGGGUAAAGGCCUACCAAGGCGACGAUCUGUAGCGGGUCUGAGAGGAUGAUCCGCCACACUGGGACUGAGACACGGCACAGACUCCUACGGGAGGCAGCAGUGGGGAAUAUUGGACAAUGGGGGGAGCCCUGAUCCAGCCAUGCCGCGUGUGUGAAGAAGGCCUUAUGGUUGUAAAGCACUUUAAGCGAGGAGGAGGCUACUUUAGUUAAUACCUAGAGAUAGUGGACGUUACUCGCAGAAUAAGCACCGGCUAACUCUUUGCCAGCCGCCGCCGUAA